CGUGCUGGAUGCUGUUUUCAAGCCUGAAGUUCGCUGAUCCAGAGCAGUCUUUCUGCAAACAUAUCUGGAGUCCAUCAGAUGACGGACAUGUUGAAACUACAGCCAACACUGAUGAAGGAAUGAUCACAGACCAGGAAGAAGAAAUGAGGCAUUUAAAA
This is a long non-coding RNA of Thalassophryne amazonica, 158 nucleotides long. RefSeq lists it as uncharacterized. The transcript has 2 exons. Lineage: Eukaryota; Metazoa; Chordata; Actinopteri; Batrachoidiformes; Batrachoididae. The record is from RefSeq and is a predicted model, not a curated record.